UACGAAGGGGGCUAGCGUUGUUCGGAUUUACUGGGCGUAAAGCGCACGUAGGCGGAUUGGUCAGUUAGAGGUGAAAUCCCGAAGCUCAACUUCGGAACUGCCUUUAAUACUGCCAGUCUAGAGUCCGGAAGAGGUAAGUGGAACUCCUAGUGUAGAGGUGGAAUUCGUAGAUAUUAGGAAGAACACCAGUGGCGAAGGCGGCUCACUGGCCCGGUACUGACGCUGAGGUGCGAAAGCGUGGGGAGCAAACAGGG
Molecule: ribosomal RNA, 254 nt
Filed under: uncultured bacterium
Lineage: Bacteria
Description: partial 16S ribosomal RNA
Rfam family: Bacterial small subunit ribosomal RNA
Source: RNAcentral